GGAUGUGAGGGUGAUCUGUCUGCGACAUCUGUCACCCCAUUGACUGCAUUGGUUUGGCUGAUCUGGCUGGCUAGGCAGGUGUCUCCUUCCUCCCUCACCACUCUAUGUGCGUCCCUCCCAAAGCUGCGUGCUCGGUCGAAGAGGACGGUCUUCCCCAAACAGAGACGGACCAGUCUUCAGUCGAAAGUAUACAAGUAGCUGAGCUCCCCUAUUAGAACCUCCAAACAAGCUCUCAAGAAUAGGAAAGCUUCCAACGGAGGGGAUGGGAUAUGGAGAAACUCUGGUGAUGGAAAUUAUAUGGAAUUGUACCCCUCUUAUCCCACAAUCUUAUCGAU
Molecule: small nuclear RNA, 335 nt
Filed under: Erinaceus europaeus (western European hedgehog)
Lineage: Eukaryota; Metazoa; Chordata; Mammalia; Eulipotyphla; Erinaceidae
Description: 7SK RNA
Rfam family: 7SK RNA
About the family: 7SK was discovered as an abundant small nuclear RNA in the mid-70s but a possible function has only recently been suggested. Two independent studies have found that 7SK RNA binds the CDK9/cyclin T complex (known as elongation factor P-TEFb). P-TEFb activates transcription by phosphorylating the C-terminal domain of RNA polymerase II.
Source: Rfam by way of RNAcentral